Molecule: ribosomal RNA, 284 nt
Filed under: uncultured beta proteobacterium
Lineage: Bacteria; Pseudomonadati; Pseudomonadota; Betaproteobacteria
Description: partial 16S ribosomal RNA
Rfam family: Bacterial small subunit ribosomal RNA
Source: RNAcentral
AAGCAGGGGAUCGCAAGACCUUGCGCUUUUGGAGCGGCCGAUGUCUGAUUAGCUAGUUGGUGAGGUAAAGGCUUACCAAGGCUUCGAUCAGUAGCUGGUCUGAGAGGACGACCAGCCACACUGGGACUGAGACACGGCCCAGACUCCUACGGGAGGCAGCAGUGGGGAAUUUUGGACAAUGGGGGCAACCCUGAUCCAGCCAUGCCGCGUGAGUGAAGAAGGCCUUCGGUUGUAAAGCUCUUUCAGCCGGAACGAAAAGGGUACGGUUAAUACCCGUGACUAAU